This 315-nucleotide unclassified non-coding RNA is filed under the name Hevea brasiliensis (rubber tree). The record is from RNAcentral. Lineage: Eukaryota; Viridiplantae; Streptophyta; Magnoliopsida; Malpighiales; Euphorbiaceae.
GGUGGUGCCAGUUUGGAGUUACUUGAAGGAAAGGUGCUCCCUGGUGUCAUAGCUCUAGAUGAGGCUGACGCCCCUGUUGCAGUGUAAAACAAUUUGUACUAAAUUCUUUUUUCGGUCAACUUAACUUAAUCAGCCAGUUGGGGAACAUUGAGUUGUUAAUGUUGUAGAUUUUCCAGGUGAUAUAAGGGCCUUUUUUCCCAAGCUAUUUUAUCUGUCUAAAUAAAGGGCGUGUGUGUAUGUAUAGACAGCGACAACUUUGGUUCAACUUGUUUAGAUGUAACAAGUGCACUUGACACCUCCUGCUCAUGACAUUUG